GGGGGGCUAAAAUAGAACUUAAACAUAAAACCCAUCAUCUUCCCUACUAACCCAACAAUUCCUCACCUCACCGCUCAUCUCCUCAUUCGUUUCUAUCCUCUCUAGUAAAUUCCGGCGACAUCCUCCAUUCUAGCAAAAGUUCCCAAAUUAUAGAACGUGUAGUAAGUUCCCAAAUUUCUUGAAUCUUAUGUAGAUGUCUGUAAUUUAAGGCUUUUGAGUUUUUAAAUUUUGUGACUACUGGUAUUAUUUUCUGGGUUUUGUUGAAUAUUUGAUUUUUUAAUGUGGGUUCUGGAAGCAAAACCAUAGUUUUGCCUUUGUGGAUAAGGACCAGGUAGGGGAAGGAGACCAGGUCAUCAUCAUUUUGCCAACAGCUACGUCCAUAACCCCUUUUUGUAUGUUUGUUUGUAUUACGUAUGGCUGGGAGAACUGCAAAUACAAUAUAAGGCCAAAAGAGGAAAUACAUUAAGGGUUUGUAUCAAACAUUCAAGCAUUAUAAGCUCAUUAAAUCAGAUUAUUGGGUUAUUCUAAUAUAGCGUGUUCAGAUGUUAAAUGAACUCUCUUUCCCCUUUCAUUUGAAUGUGCAAGACUAUUGGUUGAUACAGGUAAACAAAGCAAAUUCUGAAAAAAUAACCUGAAGUUUAUACUCCAAUACAUGCAUAUCGUUGCCAAAUAUGAUGGCCUAAACCAUUUUGAAUGGCAUCUUGUUCUUGCUUUUAUUUUUCUUGAUUUUGGUGGUUUUUAUUGGUAAUAAUCUAAUUUAAAUAAAAACGUGGAUGCUUGGGUGAGUUUUGUAGUGCAAAUGGCUGUUUUACUGAACCAUGUUUCAUAUUGGUUGAUGUACGUUUUCCCAUAUUCACUACUUUCCAAAUUAUGGCAUUGUUACUUUGUAACAAUUUUUCUUUAUAUUAAGGGUUUCAUAUUGUUCAAUCUUGUGUAUGUCAUCCGGUUUUUUUUUUUAAUGGAAAUGUUUGGUUGAACGAGAAGUUCCUAUCCUAUAUGUCAAGUAACUAAUUCACAUGAUUUACGUACAGGGAUUCCUAUCCUAAAUUUUCUAUCUUUGAUACCAAGGUAAUUCAAAAUUGAAAGAUUUCAAAUUUAAAUAAUGUUUGGACAAAUUCACUGAAUAAGGAAGUUGUUCCAUUACUUACUUAUGAUAUCAUUUUUUGUUAACAUUUUGCUAUAAAGUUUAUUAAUGUGAGGUUUUUUUAUUUUUUUUUUAAACAAGAUCGACUGUAAGACAUUUAGGAGGGAAGGAUGUAAGCAUUAUGAAUUGUUUGGAGAGAUUUUUAGCGGGACUAUAGCUACUGGAGGUCUAGGCGAUGUUUCUACUUAGCUUCCGCCAACGUCAGAGGAAGAAAGAUGGCUAGAAGAUGAGUUUUUGAGAAGGUGCAUAUACGUGUGGAAAAUGAUAAUGAUGAAGUUUCAAAAAUUCGUUGACGUGAUGAUACUACGCCUAAAAACGUCGACGUAAGGAACUCAAAAUCCAUAAAGGUGAAAAACUUGAGGAAUGUAUGACGCAAUGGUCAUCUAUCAUUAGUAUGGGGAAUGAGGAAACAAACUUAGGAUGCUAUUCCUUGAAGAAAAGCUUGCACACAUCCAAGAAAAAUCAUCUAAUCACGAGGGCACUAGUGAAGUCUCUAGUCCAGAUCCUUAUUCGAAUAUGGCGUGUUUGACCAUUUAAAACAACAUGGAAGGAGUGUCUAACGAGAUUUAUAUGAAAGCAAUAGAGGUUUUCAAAGAUCCAGAUUUCAGGAUGAUAUUUGUAAUUAUACCAGAAAUUAUGAGAUGAUCUAUCUUGGAACUUCUUUGAUUUGCCUAAUUGGUCGGAUUGAGUAUUUUGAACUUAUAAUGUAGGAUUUUGUUCU
This 1865-nucleotide long non-coding RNA is filed under the name Olea europaea (common olive). RNAcentral's name for it is "long non-coding RNA (OEUR_LNC006053)". Lineage: Eukaryota; Viridiplantae; Streptophyta; Magnoliopsida; Lamiales; Oleaceae. The record is from RNAcentral.